GCCAAAAGAGGUGGAAAUGCGUCAUUGAAUCCAGCUCACCCAGGGUUGGGAAUGAAGAAGUGAAGACAGUGCUACCCUGAUCAACCGAGGGAAGAAGGAGGGUUCAGGAGGCCAAACCCUGCCCGUGGAGUUCCCCGGAACUCAUGAGGAAGAGCAGGCUAGAGAUCCCAUCAGAUCUGGAGCUGCUGGCCUACGCCACAGCCACAGCAACACCAGAUCCAAGCCGUGUCUGCGACCUACACCACAGCUCACAGCAACGCUGGAUCCUUAACCCACUGAGCGAGGCCAGGGACCGACCCCUCGUCCUCAGGGAAUGCUAGUCAGGUUCAUUACCGCUGAGCCAUGACGGGACCUCCUGCAUUUAGAUUUUUAGCGAACAUCUACUUCGCGCCUCACCUCAAGUCAGUUGCUGGGGAGAAGCAGAAAGGAGGCGUGGGCUGGGCUAGUGCGCAGGUGGACUCAGCCCACCCCUAGUGAGGCUCCCUGCCUGGACUUCUGGGAGAGGCUUGAAUGAGCCUUGAAGGAGAUACCUGACUAUCAAAGGAGGGGGCGAAACAGCAUCCCGAGCCAAGGAAAUGACAUUGUGAAAGCCUCCAAGAUGUUUGGGGUUCAUGACUCCUCGGCACAGUUAAGGCCUGGGGUCCACGGGACAGGACAGUCGGGGGAGAGAUGAAGUGAUGAGGCCGAAACCAGAGCAGCGGCUGACUGCACCUCAGGAGUCCGCAGGGGAAGGACUUUGUGGACAUGGCGAUUAUCUCAACUGUUUGUGGGGCAAUCACAGGAGCAUCUGGGGAGAAAACUGGCCCCAGAAGGAAAAGGGCUGCAGGCGGGAAGACCAGAAAGGAUGCUGUUCAGAUGGCCCAGGUGAAAGCCAGUGAGGGCCUAGACUGAGCAGACGUGGUGGGAUGGAGGGGCCCAGGAGACAGCUCUGGAUUUGGCAGUUGCGGGGGAGGAGCUAGAUCAUUGUGCUUUUACAAGAGUGGGUUAUUUAUCCAAAAACAAACAAAACAAAACAACAGCAACAACAGGGCAUUGCCGCAAGCUGUGGUGUAGGCUGCAGAUGUGGCUCGGAUCCAGCGUGGCUGUGGCUGUGCCGUAAGCCAGCAGCUGCAGCUCCGAUUCGAGCCCAGGAACUUCCAUAUGCCUCAGGUGGGGCCCUAGAAAAGGACAGAAAAAAAAAAA
Molecule: long non-coding RNA, 1182 nt
Filed under: Sus scrofa (pig)
Lineage: Eukaryota; Metazoa; Chordata; Mammalia; Artiodactyla; Suidae
Description: lncRNA (ENSSSCG00030066357.1)
Source: RNAcentral